UACGAAGGGGGCUAGCGUUGCUCGGAAUUACUGGGCGUAAAGGGCGCGUAGGCGGACAGUUAAGUCAGGGGUGAAAGCCCAGGGCUCAACCCUGGAAUUGCCUUUGAUACUGAUUGUCUUGAGUAUGGGAGAGGUAUGCGGAACUCCGAGUGUAGAGGUGAAAUUCGUAGAUAUUCGGAAGAACACCAGUGGCGAAGGCGGCUCUCUGGGACGGUACUGACGCUGAGACGCGAAAGCGUGGGGAGCGAACAGG
RNAcentral lists this ribosomal RNA (253 nucleotides) under uncultured bacterium. RNAcentral's name for it is "partial 16S ribosomal RNA". It matches the Rfam family "Bacterial small subunit ribosomal RNA", at positions 524 to 776 of the family's 1533-position model. The record is from RNAcentral.